CAGAACCAUCUGUUAGAACAAAUAUAUUGCGAUCAGAUAUAAUUAAAGGAUACACGUAUUGGGAAAGCUACUCAACAGAAGCUGAAUAGCGAUUUAAAGCUUUUUUUUUUGCGUAAUAAAGUGCCCAAUUACUUUAAUAACAACGUGGAGGACAUAAGAAGUAGUUAUCAACUUGAUCAAGACAGGACACUUGGUAUUAAAAGAUAAUUACAAAAUUGUGCUUUAGAUGCGGGCUGCGUCGAACUGUGGAAGUGCUGCUGCCAAUAUAAUUAGCUUUGCGGUAUAAUUUACCGACAUUACGUUCAGUUGCAAAUAACAGCGUUGCGUCUGCGCAAUCCAUGACCACAUACUGCAGGAUGGCGUACGACAAAUGACUCCGAUUUAUAAUCUAGAUCUGGUUACUGAAUAUCGAGUUUACAUUUGCGAAAUUGGAUACGUUAAUGUUCAGUUCUUGCAAGACAAGCGUUUAAUUGCAGGUCAGAGGACGUAAUUCGCGUUCCGGCGCGGAUUAUUGCGAUAUUAGGUUUCACGUACCUACCUACUACUGUUAAUUGUACGAAUGACGGUUGCAUUUAAGGGGCGAAAAUGAAAUUGGAAGUAGUACCUGUUCUUUUGCUAACUGGAACCAAGUCUUCAAGAUGAUCGGUAAUCUUGUGUACUGAUAAUGUUUAGUUGUUUUAACACUAAUAAAAAUAUCGUUUAAGGUAA
Molecule: long non-coding RNA, 708 nt
Organism: Bombyx mori (domestic silkworm)
Lineage: Eukaryota; Metazoa; Arthropoda; Insecta; Lepidoptera; Bombycidae
Exons: 2
Source: RefSeq, a predicted model, not a curated record